Molecule: ribosomal RNA, 463 nt
Filed under: uncultured bacterium
Lineage: Bacteria
Description: partial 16S ribosomal RNA
Rfam family: Bacterial small subunit ribosomal RNA
Source: RNAcentral
GAUGAACGCUGACAGAAUGCUUAACACAUGCAAGUCUUUGGCGAAUCUGUGCUUGCACAGGCUAGCCAAGGCGGACGGGUGAGUAACGCGUAAAGAACUUGCCCUGCAGACAGGGAUAACAGACGGAAACGACUGAUAACACCUGAUACAGUUGCCGGCACGCAUGUGCCUGGCAAUGAAAAGAGAUGCUGCAGGAGAGCUUUGCGUCCUAUUAGCUUGUUGGUGAGGUGACGGCUCACCAAGGCGAUGAUAGGUAGCCGGCCUGAGAGGGUGAACGGCCACAAGGGGACUGAGAUACGGCCCUUACUCCUACGGGAGGCAGCAGUGGGGAAUAUUGGACAAUGGGGGCAACCCUGAUCCAGCAAUUCUGUGUGCACGAAGAAGGUUUUCGGAUUGUAAAGUGCUUUCAGCAGAGAAGAAGAAAGUGACGGUACCUGCAGAAGAAGCGACGGCUAAAUACGUG